CUGAGUAAGUUAAAAAAACUAAAGGUCUGUGGAACCUUAAUUCGACUAAGUCGCCAGG
Molecule: transfer RNA, 58 nt
Filed under: Philine kinglipini
Lineage: Eukaryota; Metazoa; Mollusca; Gastropoda; Cephalaspidea; Philinidae
Description: tRNA-His
Source: RNAcentral